This 253-nucleotide ribosomal RNA is filed under the name uncultured bacterium. RNAcentral describes it as "partial 16S ribosomal RNA". It matches the Rfam family "Bacterial small subunit ribosomal RNA", at positions 524 to 776 of the family's 1533-position model. The record is from RNAcentral.
UACGUAGGGUGCAAGCGUUACUCGGAAUUACUGGGCGUAAAGCGUGCGCAGGCGGUUUUGUAAGUCUGUCGUGAAAUCCCCGGGCUCAACCCGGGAACUGCGUCCGAUACUGGAGGGCUCGAAUCCGGGAGAGGGAUGUGGAAUUCCAGGUGUAGCGGUGAAAUGCGUAGAUAUCUGGAGGAACACCGGUGGCGAAGGCGGCAUCCUGGACCGGUAUUGACGCUGAGGCGCGAAAGCCAGGGGAGCAAACGGG